This 590-nucleotide long non-coding RNA is filed under the name Linum usitatissimum (flax). RNAcentral describes it as "long non-coding RNA (LUSI_LNC007205)". Lineage: Eukaryota; Viridiplantae; Streptophyta; Magnoliopsida; Malpighiales; Linaceae. The record is from RNAcentral.
UCAGAAGUGAGCAGAGAAGUAACUCCGCCGGUGGCACCAAGAGCGAAGAAGAAGAACAUGCCCGCUAGCAGCUUUGGAUGCAAGUCUUUGGCUUUGGCCUUCUCCUCCACAUCAUCAGAGUAUCGAAUUCGGAAUCCCAGGUAUGUUCCGUAUCCACCCAUUGCAAACAGCACCACCGCCUGCACAUUUUUUAUUUAUUGAUUGAAAACCCAAACACUAUCACUCAGAAAAAGUUGUAUUCAAAGCAUCAUUUACAGUAGGUACUGACCAUAUUGCCAGGGUGACCCCAAUGGACUAGCCAGCCAGGGAGGUUUAAGGACUUGACAAUCUCCACGAAUGGCCCAAACACUGACCUAAUUGCCCCACCUGUUUGAUUAAUUGAAUUAAAAUCACACGAUAAAUUGGUACUGUUGAUUGCAAAUUGAUUGAUUUUACCUCCAGGGAGAGCAGCUAGGACGAGGAGAGGCAGGGGAGAUACAGAGUAGAGCAAUGUCUCUUCCACUCCUUGUUCUUCUACUUCUACUUCCUUUUCCUCGUCAUCAUCAGUGGAGUAGCUGUUGUUGUUCGGUGGGAAACAGGAAAAGGGUCGG